UGUAAUGAUGACUGACUAGAGUCUCUGAUACUUCCCAUGAAGUUAAAAAAAUAAGCUCAACA
RNAcentral lists this small nucleolar RNA (62 nucleotides) under Bemisia tabaci. RNAcentral's name for it is "small nucleolar RNA SNORD52". It matches the Rfam family "Small nucleolar RNA SNORD52". From Rfam's summary of the family: U52 belongs to the C/D class of snoRNA which contain the C (UGAUGA) and D (CUGA) box motifs. Most of the members of the box C/D family function in directing site-specific 2'-O-methylation of substrate RNAs. Lineage: Eukaryota; Metazoa; Arthropoda; Insecta; Hemiptera; Aleyrodidae. The record is from RNAcentral.